UACCAAAAGAUCAUGUUUCGUGCUUUUUCUUCAGCUUGUUAUAAGGCCAGCAGUAGCUACGGCAUAGCAGAUAAUCGGGAUCUUCUGGGUUUGGAGGUUUACAACAUAAAAGAGUGAAUAAGAGGAAAAGAAGGAUGAUAGUCACGUCUUCACAGAGGAAGCAGCGUGACUGUGGGAACCAGUCUAAACCAAAGCCUGGUUUAAGCAUCUCCUUCCCUUUGAGGCUGUCCAGUGACAUAUUCGAGAGGCCGGUUACUAGAAUCCUAUCCCAUCCUGGCAAUGACAGAUCUCUGGGAGGACACCUUGGACCAGCCCCACCAGGUCUGCUGGCCCGAGAGACCGCAAGGACUCCAGGCCUGCAGCAGUGCAAGACAACUGGUGGGAGGAGCUGGCCCGGUGCAUCGCAAGCGUCCCAGCUGUGUCCAUGCUGAUGAGGAUGGGGCUGUGAUCGGCCACUGGU
Diceros bicornis minor is the source of this 460-nucleotide long non-coding RNA. RefSeq lists it as uncharacterized. The record is from RefSeq and is a predicted model, not a curated record. The transcript is spliced from 3 exons. Lineage: Eukaryota; Metazoa; Chordata; Mammalia; Perissodactyla; Rhinocerotidae.